RNAcentral lists this transfer RNA (60 nucleotides) under Neotoma lepida (desert woodrat). It matches the Rfam family "tRNA", at positions 7 to 64 of the family's 71-position model. From Rfam's summary of the family: Transfer RNA (tRNA) molecules are approximately 80 nucleotides in length. The record is from Rfam by way of RNAcentral. Lineage: Eukaryota; Metazoa; Chordata; Mammalia; Rodentia; Cricetidae.
GUGGCUCAGUCGGUAAAGCACCUGCCUUCCAAACAUGAGGACCUGAGUUCAAAUCUCACC